GACGCCGCGUGAGUGAUGAAGGCCUUCGGGUUGUAAAGCUCUGUGGGAGGGACGAAAAGGUAGGGAAUAAUACCUCUGCCCUUGACGGUACCUCCUUAGCAAGCACCGGCUAACUCUGUGCCAGCACCUGCGGUGACUGAGCGGGCUGGCAAGGCGCAUA
This 160-nucleotide ribosomal RNA is filed under the name uncultured bacterium. RNAcentral's name for it is "partial 16S ribosomal RNA". It matches the Rfam family "Bacterial small subunit ribosomal RNA", at positions 393 to 539 of the family's 1533-position model. The record is from RNAcentral.